RNAcentral lists this ribosomal RNA (448 nucleotides) under Adelophryne maranguapensis. RNAcentral describes it as "partial 16S ribosomal RNA". It matches the Rfam family "Archaeal large subunit ribosomal RNA", at positions 2013 to 2625 of the family's 2987-position model. The record is from RNAcentral. Lineage: Eukaryota; Metazoa; Chordata; Amphibia; Anura; Eleutherodactylidae.
GUACCCUGACCGUGCAAAGGUAGCGUAAUCAUUUGUUUUUUAAUUUAAGACCUGUAUGAACGACCCCACGAGAGUCACACUGUCUCCUCUUUCCUAUCAGUGAAACUAAUCUUCUCGUUCAAAAGCGAGAAUUAUUCUAUUAGACGAAAAGACCCUGUGGAGCUUUAAACAACCUAGCAUAUGUUUUUUACCUUCUUGCUUCUCGAAAAACAUAAUGACUUCUAGUUUUUGGUUGGGGUGACCCUGAAGGAAAACAAAUCCUUCAGAAUGAAUAAGAAUUUUCUUUAUCUUUAAGCCACAGCUUUUGGCAUCAACACAUUGACAUAAUUGACCCUUUUUGAUCAACGAACCAAGUUACCCCAGGGAUAACAGCGCCAUCCUUUUUGAGAGUACAUAUCGACAAAAGGGUUUACGACCUCGAUGUUGGAUCAGGAUAUCCUAGUGGUGU